UCAAGUUGUUAAGAGCAUACGGUGGAUGCCUUGGCACCAGGAGCCGAUGAAGGACGUAGGAGGCUGCGAUAAGCCUCGGGGAGCUGUCAACCGAGCUGAGAUCCGAGGAUUUCCGAAUGGGGAAACCCGGCCCCAGUCAUGUGGGGUCACCUGCACCUGAAUGUAUAGGGUGUGUGGAGGGAACGCGGGGAAGUGAAACAUCUCAGUACCCGUAGGAAGAGAAAACAACCGUGAUUCCGUGAGUAGUGGCGAGCGAAAGCGGAUGAGGCUAAACCAGUUUCGUGUGAUACCCGGCAGGGGUUGCGAUUCUGGGGUCGUGGGACGUGCUGGUCAGAUCUGCCGGUCUGGCACGGAGUCAGAAAACACAGUGUUAGUUGAACGCUCUGGGAAGGGCGGCUGUAGAGGGUGAGAGCCCCGUAGACGAAAAUGCUGUGUCUCCGAGUAUGUAUCCCAAGUAGCAGCGAGCUCGUGGAAUUUGCUGUGAAUCUGGCGGGACCACCCGCUAAGCCUAAAUACUCCCUGGUGACCGAUAGCGGACUAGUACCGUGAGGGAAAGGUGAAAAGUACCCCGGGAGGGGAGUGAAAGAGUACCUGAAACCGUGUGCUUACAAUCCGUCAGAGCCUGUUGAAGGGUGAUGGCGUGCCUUUUGAAGAAUGAGCCUGCGAGUUAGUGGUGCGUGGCGAGGUUAACCCGUGUGGGGUAGCCGUAGCGAAAGCGAGUCUGAAUAGGGCGAAAUAGUCGCGUGCUCUAGACCCGAAGCGGGGUGAUCUACCCAUGGCCAGGGUGAAGCGACGGUAAGACGUCGUGGAGGCCCGAACCCACCAGGGUUGAAAACCUGGGGGAUGAGCUGUGGGUAGGGGUGAAAGGCCAAUCAAACUCCGUGAUAGCUGGUUCUCCCCGAAAUGCAUUUAGGUGCAGCGUCGUAUGUUUCACACCGGAGGUAGAGCUACUGGAUGGUCUAGGGGGCCUACAAGCUUACUGAAAUCAGCCAAACUCCGAAUGCCGGUGUGUGAAGUGCGGCAGUGAGACUGCGGGGGAUAAGCUUCGUAGUCGAGAGGGAAACAGCCCAGAACACCGGCUAAGGCCCCUAAGUGUGCGCUAAGUGGGAAAGGAUGUGGGGUCGCUUAGACAACCAGGAGGUUGGCUUAGAAGCAGCCACCCUUGAAAGAGUGCGUAAUAGCUCACUGGUCAAGUGGUUCCGCGCCGACAAUGUAGCGGGGCUUAAGCGCGCCGCCGAAGCCGUGUCAUUGACACAUGUGAUCCGCUUCGCUCCUUGAGAGCGUUGUGUAGUCGUGUUGAUGGGUAGGGGAGCGUCGUGCAUCCAGGGAAGCAGCCGCGGAAGCGAGUUGUGGAGGGUGUGCGAGUGAGAAUGCAGGCAUGAGUAGCGAAUGCAGAGUGAGAACCUCUGCCGCCGGAUGACCAAGGGUUCCUGGGCCAGGUUAAUCCGCCCAGGGUAAGUCGGGACCUAAGGCGAGGCCGACAGGCGUAGUCGAUGGACAACGGGUUGAUAUUCCCGUACCCGUGUGGAUGCGCCCAUGGUGAGGCAGGUAAUGCUAACCACCCGAGCGAAGCUGAUCCUUCGGGAGAGGCGGAGUGAGCGUGGGAUCCGAACCUGUAGUAGUCAAGCGAUGGGGUGACGCAGGAAGGUAGCUCCGCCAGUGAGUGGUAGUACUGGUGUAAGCGUGUAGGGCGGUGUGUAGGCAAAUCCGCACACCAUAUAAGCCUGAGACGUGAUGCGUAGCCGAUUGAGGCGAAGUGGGUGAUCCUAUGCUGCCGAGAAAAGCCUCUAGUGAGUGUCCAUGCGGCCCGUACCCCAAACCGACACAGGUGGUCAGGUAGAGAAUACCGAGGCGUUCGGGUGAACUGUGGUUAAGGAACUCGGCAAAAUGCCCCCGUAACUUCGGGAGAAGGGGGGCCGUUGGGUUUGAUGUUCUUCUCGAGUGGAGGACUUGACGGCCGCAGAGACCAGGGAGAAGCGACUGUUUACUAAAAACACAGGUCCGUGCGAAGUCGUAAGACGAUGUAUACGGACUGACGCCUGCCCGGUGCUGGAACGUUAAGGGGACCGGUUAGUCCGUAAGGGCGAAGCUGAGAACUUAAGCGCCAGUAAACGGCGGUGGUAACUAUAACCAUCCUAAGGUAGCGAAAUUCCUUGUCGGGUAAGUUCCGACCUGCACGAAUGGCGUAACGACUUCUCCGCUGUCUCAACCACAGGCCCGGUGAAAUUGCAUUACGAGUAAAGAUGCUCGUUACGCGCGGCAGGACGGAAAGACCCCGGGACCUUUACUAUAGCUUGGUAUUGGUGUUUGGUUCGGCUUGUGUAGGAUAGGUGGGAGACUGUGAAGCUGGCACGCUAGUGUUGGUGGAGUCGUCGUUGAAAUACCACUCUGGUCGUACUGGAUGUCUAACCUCGGACCGUGAUCCGGUUCAGGGACAGUGCCUGGUGGGUAGUUUAACUGGGGCGGUUGCCUCCCAAAGGGUAACGGAGGCGCCCAAAGGUUCCCUCAGCCUGGUUGGCAAUCAGGUGUUGAGUGUAAGUGCACAAGGGAGCUUGACUGUGAGACUGACGGGUCGAGCAGGGACGAAAGUCGGGACUAGUGAUCCGGCACUGGCUUGUGGAAGCGGUGUCGCUCAACGGAUAAAAGGUACCCCGGGGAUAACAGGCUGAUCUUGCCCAAGAGUCCAUAUCGACGGCAUGGUUUGGCACCUCGAUGUCGGCUCGUCGCAUCCUGGGGCUGGAGUAGGUCCCAAGGGUUGGGCUGUUCGCCCAUUAAAGCGGCACGCGAGCUGGGUUUAGAACGUCGUGAGACAGUUCGGUCCCUAUCCGCCGCGCGCGUUGGAGACUUGAGGAAGGCUGUCCCUAGUACGAGAGGACCGGGACGGACGAACCUCUGGUGUGCCAGUUGUUCUGCCAAGAGCAUGGCUGGUUGGCUACGUUCGGAAGGGAUAACCGCUGAAGGCAUCUAAGCGGGAAGCUUGUUUCGAGAUGAGGUCUCCCACCACCUUUGAGUGGUUAAGGCCCCCUAUAGACGAUGGGGUUGAUAGGCCCGAGAUGGAAGCCUGGUAACAGGUGGAGUUGACGGGUACUAAUAGGCCGAGGGCUUGUUCAC
This 3111-nucleotide ribosomal RNA is filed under the name Crossiella equi. RNAcentral describes it as "bacterial LSU rRNA". It matches the Rfam family "Bacterial large subunit ribosomal RNA". Lineage: Bacteria; Bacillati; Actinomycetota; Actinomycetes; Pseudonocardiales; Pseudonocardiaceae. The record is from RNAcentral.